RNAcentral lists this microRNA (22 nucleotides) under Ixodes ricinus (castor bean tick). Its description in RNAcentral is "iri-miR-9a-3p". Lineage: Eukaryota; Metazoa; Arthropoda; Arachnida; Ixodida; Ixodidae. The record is from RNAcentral. RNAcentral also lists the same sequence under 1 other name.
AUAAAGCUAGGUUACCAAAGUU